This is a long non-coding RNA of Rosa chinensis, 5924 nucleotides long. RefSeq lists it as uncharacterized. The transcript is spliced from 5 exons. The record is from RefSeq and is a predicted model, not a curated record. NCBI's taxonomy places the organism in Eukaryota, Viridiplantae, Streptophyta, Magnoliopsida, Rosales, Rosaceae.
AGGCACUAAGAAACUAUCUAGUUUCUACUUGAGAGCUGAGAUCUCACAUCUACAAUGCCAAAGCAACGUCAAAAAAAUCGAGCAAAGCAAAGCAAGCAGGAUAUGGCUUCUCUGACCAAUGAAGCAGCAAGUUCUUCAUCUUCUUCACUCCCACGUUCUUCGACUGAUCAAAAUCUGUAAGAAAAUUUAUGGACUUAUCACAUGUUUAUUAGAGUAAACAACAAUUGAUAAAUGAUUUAGACUAAAUAAUAUGAAUAUGGAAACAGAACUCAAUUCUAGUAACCUAAUCAAUGUGUAUAUCUAUUGAUAAGGGAUGGAAAUCUAUUUACUGGAUUAUUAACUUAAUUACAAAGAUAUGAUAUCAUAAGGAUUCUUAAGAGUGAAGUUGGAGUCCUAUUGAACUUCCUUUAUGGGAGGGGUUCAAGGCUAAACCUAACUCAUAUAUAAGGAUGUAUAAGUCCCUGCAACCUCUACGACUAAGAGCAUAAGUGCUUGCCCCAUUCAUAAGAAGCUCAAACCUAGAGAAUUGCAUAAGACUUGUGCUCGUGGCUGCUUCAAUCAGUUCAAUCGAUCCUACAUGUAUCAACUUUAAUUUAUUUAUCCUGGAUAUAUAUACAAUUAUGUCUAUAUUCUUGUGAAUGAUCUUGUGACAACUUUAUGUGUAUUCUCACAAGUGGUAUCAGAGCCACAUUCAGAAAAGUAUAGAUCGUUGUAUGUAUAUGAUCUAUAUCAUGGCUAUAAACAAAGAAGAAAGCUUUUGGGGCAAAACCCAGAAAAGACUACGGGUCAGAUCCAAGCUAUCUGGGUCAAUCCGCUUUUAUUUUCACUUCUGGUUUUUGUUUUUGAUCAUACAGAACGUGAAAACAACAAGAGCAUGUCCUCCCCACUAUACAGCACAACAAACCAAUGGAGAAACAAAAAAAAAAUAGAAAAGUGGGCAUGGCUCGCUACCUCCCGACAAUUAACGAACCAAUAGCAAUGGCAUACGAUUACAGAAAUUUGGAAUACCAGACAUGACGACUUGAAAGGGAUGGUUUUUGCCUUCUUGGCGUUGUUAUUUCCAACCCCACGCGGCAAAUCAAGGAAGAGAAAGUUUAAUGGCUUUGGACGGUUUCCCUUCAGACCUACUUAAGCGGGAUUGAAUAAUUCCAGAUAAGAAAUUUUCUAUUGAUCUUCUUUUGAAAUUUAGUUUUCUGCUACUUGAUUACUGAUUGCAGUCAUGUUUCGUAAGAAUCUAAUAUUUUUCCUUGAUAGUCCCAUGUCAUGAAAAGUUUGUGACCAGGUUUUAGGCAUGAGCCUUGGACAACAUUAAUGCAGCCAUUUGAUCUCGUUGAUUUCUCAUUGUAAGAGCAAUCAGUUAACAAUAAACAUAAGUUGUUGUGAUUCCAUUUGAUUUUGGAAAAAGCAUUGGAAUCUUCCGGUAUGAUUGCAGCAUUGUGGGCAGAGAAAUAGUGAUAAUAAUAUCAUUCUCUUCCUAUCUAGAAACAUGUGUAGAUGCAUGUAAUAUGCCGAUUUUGGUUGAAUUCAGAUUACUGAGAUUACAUGCAUUAUACUUGUUUAGACUUUUUUGUCAUGGUCGGAUACAUUUGAGUUUCAUGAAAACAUGAUCUAAUUGCAUACUUAAGAAUUGAAUGAAAUGCUAUGUUUUGUUAUUGGCUUAGAUAACUUGUUUUCAGUAAAUUAGUUUAAUUGGUUUGAACUAUUAGACCAAUCCUUGUACAAAUAGAGCAAAAUUUUAUUCAGUAUCUGUUUUAAUACAGCUCAUAGAAUCGUCAAUCUUGAAUGACCAUAGUCUUAUGCUUAUACAUAUAGCAUGUAUAUUUAAUUGCAAGAAUAUGCCAUUGUCAUUUAGAAAAGUUUGACCGAGUUGCAAAUCACAAAGACGUUAUCAUGGCUUGCGGACCUUCCUCUAUUGUUUUCUUUUUAGUCUGCCAAUUGCAUCUGCAGGUUUUCACUUUAAUGGCUCCCACAUACAUAUAUCUAUUAUGUGUAUUGGUUUUGCUUUAGCUUCAGGGUUACUUUUUGACUAAUGAGUAAUCUAGCAGAUAGUUUCACAUGGUGGAGGGAAGAUAAGGCUUUCAAAAAGAACUUGAACAUGUGCCAAAUAAGUGCUUAAUUGUUUGUACUAUAAAUGUGAUUAUCUAUUAUUGUGCAUAUAGAAUCGUAGACCAAAUAUAUGGCCGUAGUAGGCAAGCGGCAAGCCUCCAAUUUGUGGAAUAUCAGGAUGUAGAAAUAGAAACAACUUCCGAAAUGAGGAGGACUGAUUUGGCAUCAACAACACUAGCUUAUUUUGAUACAAACAAGUUCUUUUUGGUGGGAUAAUUCUUUUAAUUGUUCUUUUCCUGCGUUGGUGAUUGUAAUUUUGUGCUCGCUUCUGCUGCAUACUUACUUGAUGGUUGUCUGGAUGCUUUUAAAAUUGGCCUUCAUAUAUGUAUAAUCAUUCAUAAAGAUAUAGCCUUGAUACGUACGUUUCAAAGGUGAUGCAUCUAGUGUUGAUAAUUAUAAUGUGUGCGUAUAUACAUACAUGGACAUGUCGUUCAUUACUGGUCAAGAGAAGGUAAAUUGUUUUAGCUCUGAUCAAGCUGUGUGGCAUGCAUAGCCACUAUACUUUACAUGAUUGCUGGCUACCAUUAAAGUUUUGUUUUGUAUCUCUUCUGGUAUAGACUAUUGAGUGCAUAUCAGGUUUGGAUUGGUUAUUUCUAAGGUUGUUUUACUAAUUGGUGUUACUACCAUAUAAAGACUUGUCUUUUUGGACAAUGAGCAUUGACGUUGCUUUUAAGUAGAAAUAUAUAUUUUCUCCUUCUUCUAUAAUGAAUUUUGAGCUACAGAACAGCAAAACAGGUUAAAAACUAACCAAUUUGGUUUUAGUGCAUCUUAUUGUUAUGAAAAGUGGUUAGGAAUACACUGAAGCUAUAUUUGCUUUUAAUGUAUUGAAAUGCAGAAAACUAUAUUAAGGUCAUUAUAGUUCUGUUCUGCUAGUGUAUCUUCAUAUGGUUGUUGUUUAGAUAUCUAUAUUUGUUUAUAGAUAGUUUUCAGCUGCAUAAUUAUAUAAAAAGCUUAUGCAUAUGUUAUUUAUGCCACUUACUUUAAUAUGUGUUAGUCUGUAUCAGAUUGAUAUGCACACAGUGAUGAAAAAUUGCUGGAUAUGCAUCUGUUAGAAUAGACUUGCAGUAAUUCUUAGCAAAUAUUGGCUAUCAACACGCGGUCUAACGUGAGUUGGAAAAUGAAGCUAAUUUUCUAGCUGGUAGCUAGUUAUUGUUUUGAGCAAUGUAAAUACGUACCACUUUAUCUAGUUUUGGUAUAACCUAAUAUUGUUCCUUCAUGAUCAUUAUUCUUAGUUUGAUUUUGGGUAGUGGAACAAGACAUAUGCUCUUACAAAUAUAUGUGGAAGGUUUUGUUUUGAGCUAUUUGCAUUUUAAUGACAAAUAUAUCUACAUGCCAAUUUGCUCACCUAGUUUAAUAUGUAAUUGAGCUUUAUGAGUAUGUGUGAUUGUAUGGACAAUCAAGUAAAGAAUUAAGAGCUACUUUUGUGAUAUAUAUGCGUUAUUAUACAGAAACACAAAAGAGAUAUGGAUAGAGGUAUGUACUUUUUCAUUUCCGCUGUGCUAUAUAUCAAAUCAUAUGUAAGAAUAUGGUAAUUGUAUACGGUUCUAUUUAUCUUCCUUUAUUUAGCCAAGUGGUUCUCUAAUUCUUUACUUAACUGAGCCUACAGGAAAUACAGUAAAGGAUGUUAAAGAACACAAAUGGAGAAAAGUUAUUACUCAUACUAAGGAAGAUGUAUGCAAGACGGCAUAUGUUUUUAGGUCAGCUAAAGGUGUUCCUGAGUUUUCGAGGCGACGAUACGCUAUAAUUUUAAAGAUCAUUUGCACACCGCUUUGUGUCAGAGGGGAAUUGAGACCUUCAGAGAUGAUAUGCUUACAAGAGGAGAAGACAUAUCACAAGAGCUUCUCAAAGUAACUGAGGGGUCGGGAGUUUCAAUCGCCGUCUUCUCUAAAGAUUAUGCUUCAUCAAGGUGGUGCUUAGAUGAACUGGUCAAUAUACUUGAAUGCAGAAAAUCAAAAGGACAAGAGGUGAGACCAGUUUUCUACAAGGUUGAUCCCUCAGAUGUAAGAAAGCAAACAGGUGCUUUCGGUGAUGCAUUUGCUAAACUAGAUCAAUGCAAAUUUAAGGACAGCAUGAGCAAAUGGAGGAAGGCUCUCUACGAAGCAGCAACUUUGUUUAGAUGGACAUACGAGGAAGACCGAUAUGUUAUUAACACCCACUAGCUUGUUAAUUAGUCUGAUUUUUUUAAAUUUUUUUUGAAGACACCAUUAAUCUACUACUUUAUUUGAUUUCGUAUAUAUAUGCUUUUAAAUUCAUAGGUACGAAGCUAUAUUUAUCAACAACAUUGUUGGGGAGCUGUCUGCCCGAGUAGUAAACACUUCAUGUGAGUUGCAGAUAGUUGAACAUCCAAUUGGAUUAGAGUCUUGUAGACAUGAUGUCAACAGACUUUUACAUGCUGACGAAAAUAUUGUUCGCAUUGUAGGCAUUUGGGGCCCUAGUGGAAUAGGAAAGACCACAAUUACAAAAGCUGUAUUUAUUUCAAUUCGCCAUAAGUUUGAUAGUAAUUGUUUCUUGGCAGAUGUUAGAUCUAAUUCAAAUAGCCUAAUCCAACUGCAAGAGAUACUUUUGUUUGAUAUUUUAAGGGACUCAACUUUGAAGGUGAGCAGUGUUGAUCAAGGAGUUAGUUUUAUAAAGACAAGGAUGCAACAUAAAAAAGUUCUCUUAAUUCUAGGUGACGUGAGUCAUUCUAGCUAAGUACAAAACUUAGCUCCAUUCUCUGAUUGUUUUGGGCUGGGCAGUAGAAUUAUCAUAACAACAAGAGAUAAACGUUUGCUAACUGCUCAUCAAGUUGAUGAAGUGUACGAGGUCAAAAUGUUAGAUUAUGAUCGAAUUUGGAGUUGUUUAGCUUGAAUGCAUUUAAAAGAAAUGGACCUCCAGACGAUUAUUUGGAACUUACACAACAUGUUGUUUGCUAUGCUCAGGGCCUUCCAUUAGCUUUGAUAGUUUUAGGCUCUCAUAUAUUUCGUAGAAGCAGAGAGGAAUGGGAUGCUACCUUAGACAGUUGUAAAGGAGAAGAUCCCCACAUAGAGAUAAGAAACGUUCUCAAAAUAAGUUAUGAUACUCUGGGGUAGAUUUAAAAGGAUAUUUUCUUGAUAUCACUUAUUUCUUAAGAUGGGAGCUUGUAGACUAAGUGAGACCAAUACUAGAAGCUUGCUACAACCUCAAAUUAGUGACUGGUAUUGCACAACUGCAAGAAAAAGCCUUGAUAAGAAUUGAUAGAGAUAAGAUUUGGAUGCAUGACUUGAUAGAGGAAAUGGGAAAAGGCACAAUGUAUCAAAUGUCGCCUUGUGAGCCUGGCGAACGUAGUAGAGUGUGAAGUGAAGAAAAUGUCGACCAUGUUCUAACAAAUAACACAGGAAAAAAAUAAAGUUAUAGGCAUCAAGGUCCCAUGCGAUAUGGGUGGCUUGAUUGGCGUUAUAGUCCAUUGCAAUCUUUUCCAUAUGAUUUUCAUGCAAACAAACUUGCACACCUCAAUAUUCGUGACAGCCGCGGAAUCACUCAACUAUGGGAGGAUGUAAGAAACUUAUCCCUCUCUCUCUCUCCGACCUAGUCACCUUCUUCUGGCGAUAUCUCCUCCGUUUGGCGGUAGAUUUUGAUGCCACAGGUAUUGUUGGAAAUCUCUCCUCCUCUUUUUCAAGUGGUUUGGUGGCUUGGUUUGGACCAUGGAAGGUGCACCAAGGAGAAGAAGACCCCUGCAUCACUUUUUUUUGGGUUUUUGGUCGGAACUUAGGUUUCCGACAACCUCCGGCAACGAUUGUUUUUGGGUCUUUGAGCUCUUGGAUCAUACAACCAUCUCUCAAAGUCUCUUGGUUCAAUUUGAA